This 2357-nucleotide long non-coding RNA is filed under the name Fragaria vesca (wild strawberry). Its description in RNAcentral is "long non-coding RNA (FVES_LNC002897)". The record is from RNAcentral. Lineage: Eukaryota; Viridiplantae; Streptophyta; Magnoliopsida; Rosales; Rosaceae.
UUACCGGCGCCCUUCCCUUGAUCGUAUAUUUUGGUUCCAUGUCUCCACAUACGACAUCAAAAAACAAGGAGGGAGAUGAUCGAUGAGAGAGUUUCGACAAGGAACUCGAACAAGUUAAUGCUCUCUGAAGCAACCCGUGUUUGUCUAGUUUUGUUAUACUUGGGGUGUGUUGUUACUCGUUGGAAUGAUUGGGUACCCAUUUUUGUUUUAGCUUGAUCAAUAGAGCUUUUGAUGCCAUCUGGUUUCAAUUUUAUUGUUCUAUAGUUAAAAUGCUCUGAAUGUACUUUUGCUAUUCUAGAUCAGGACAUUAUUAGAGACCCUGCUAAAGAUUUCUGGGUUCUAUUCUAAUUAUUUCUAGAAUUAUUCUGUGGAUUACGAUUUCGCUGCAUCUGCUGCUAUUGGUAUUGAUAUAAGGGAUACAACUGGCCUUCUUCUGACAGGUUGAAAGAUUGCACCGAGUAGUUAUUGGUUGGGAUGUAGUGAAAUCCUUACGUUUCUGAAAAAUUGUAGUACUACUGUCUAGAUUUGAUGAUUUUGAGUUUUGUAGUUUGUUCUCCAUGUGGUACAGGCCUACCCAACACAUGGGUGGAAAAGCAAGAAUAUGUUUGUGAAGCAAUGCUGAAUGAGCAAGUCUGAAAUGAUGAUGUAUGCGUAAUUCAAUCAAAUGUGUACUCGAGAGAAAGAAUUAGAAGACAUGUAUAAACACUUAAAAGAUAAUUCUCGAGUAGAUAGCUGAAAUUUUUUGAUGAAAACAUUGUUUUCAUUUUUCAAUAUUCUUUAGAUUACUCAUUCAAACCUUUCAUUCUGUAUUUGUAGAUUCUGGAGCCAUAGUUCUGGUAGUUUCCCAACAUACAAAGGCAACUAGUUUUUCAUUUGGACAAACAGGUUAGCAGCCUCUCAAAUCAGUGUUGUCGCUUUCGCUUUGAACUUUGUUAUAUAUUUAUCGCAUGUGGAUUGGACAUUUCUUUGCUUGUGGAUGCUCAGAGAAUGUUCAUUUGAUAAGUCAACUCCACAAGUAUGAUGAUAGCUGUGUUGCUUUUGGAUUCUGAAACUAUAUUAUCAUUUAUUCUUAGCAAUGUUAUAGUGAAAAACAUUGCUAUAAAAUUCUUUAGAUUACUCAUUGAACUAGAGGUCUCUUCACUUUCGUUUGGGUCAUGGCAACCAGUGUGAGCCAUGUCAACCAGGGCUCUAGGAUCAUAGAAGCAAUGUUGCAGAAGAACAAGAUUUGUUGCAAUGCAGCUCCAUAGGAACGAUAAAUAGAAACAUAUCAAAUAUUAGCAAAAAUAGAAAUUUUAGGCACAAUAGAAAGGAAUGCUGUAACUAGGCUGGGUGCGAUCGCCAGUAAAAGAAGGAGCAUAUCCGGAAAGUGAUACCAGCAGCAGUAGAGAAAAACUCCUGCUUACAGUGAAAGAAGCUAUCUGCUGAUGAUAACAAGAACAGUACCUAUAGCACCAAUAGCAUACUUUCUUGUUCCCUACUAGUAUGGGGAGCUGUCACCAGGGCCUAUGAUCCAAACCCAUACCUAGAUGCCUUUCUGAUGUCUCUCUCUCUUAGGUUUAGUCUGUAGCCUCACUUCCUUGAUUCUCUCUUUGUUUAGUAAGUCUGAGCUCCCCGCUUUCUUCUUUGUUCUUUCCUCUCUUCAGGAAUAUAGUCAGGCCUUUCCCUUUUUUAGUAGCUAGCGGGCAGGUAGCUUUUUGUAUUUGGCAUUCCUAUUGGGAAGCUAUGCAGUACGAACCCAGAGCCAAGUCACUAUGGUAUCCCCGACUACAAGUAGACUAUUCCGGAGGAAGGGUCAAUUGAUAAUGAUCCUUCUUAUGUGCACGUCGAAUAUCAGUUAUGAAAGAUCGUCCAAGAUCUAUUAGUUGCUUUGUGACUCUGUUCUGAACUUUGCGUAACUGCAUGAUUUCGUUAGUGAAGCAGUUAUGAAUAAGGAAGUCCCAAAUGGAUUAUAUGAUUAUGAUAUUUUUAGGUUACUACUCUUUCUUUCAUUCUGACUUGUACAGAUUUAGUGCCCAUAUUUCAGUUAUUUAUUAAUGCAUGAAACCAUGUUGUUUUGCAUGUUGACAAACAGCUUGGUUAGUAGUGUCUCAAAUCUAUGGUUUUGUCAGACUUUGGUACUUAUACAAUGUACGAAUGUAACGAAGCAGUCUUUUGCAUUGUAGAUUCUGGAAUCUUAGUUCUUAUAUCUGUUUAAAAUCCAAUCAUGCUAAACAUUUGUACAUUGGAUUCUCUUGGCAUAUACACCUUAACAAGUUCUGGAGGCCACUGCAGACCUACUACGAGUAUGUUCUGCACUAGUGAGAAAUGUUGUAAUUGGCUAACAAAGUGUUCUGUUCUUCUACGAAAUAAUGGAUUAG